Penaeus vannamei (Pacific white shrimp) is the source of this 856-nucleotide non-coding RNA. The record is from RefSeq and is a predicted model, not a curated record. NCBI's taxonomy places the organism in Eukaryota, Metazoa, Arthropoda, Malacostraca, Decapoda, Penaeidae.
UUCCUGAUGGCAAAGAUAGCCAAGUGGAUUGUGAUGCCAAGAAUGGUUCGGGAUCAGUUGUCUACAAUGGUUCGGCCAAGCCAGAUGUCACAAUCACCAUGAACGACAACGACCUUGUUGAUCUGAUGGAAGGGAAGCUGAACCCACAGAAGGCCUUCUUCCAAGGAAAGUUGAAGAUAAAGGGAAACAUGGGCUUGGCCAUGAAGUUACAAGAAUUCCAAAAAGAUACCAAACAGCUCAAGGCCAAGCUCUAGGGUUUAGAUGCCUUUUCUUACCACUUACCCUUUUCUUCCUCUUUCUUUUCUAAUUGUCUCAUUCUCCUCUUCCUCUUCCUCUUCUCUUGCCCCAUUCAUCCGUUAAAUUCACUUUUUAAUGCUUCUAUAUUCAGAAUACAUCCUCCUCUUUGGUAUCAUUAUGCAUCUAUAACACUUUCAAGAAGACAAGAAAUGGUACAUAAAAAAAAAAAAAAUCAAAUAACAAGGGUUGAUGGUAAGAGAAAAGCCAUUUGAAUGCAACAUCAGUGUGUAUGUCUCCAUUUUUUAAAUAUUAAAAUUGGAUUUAUAGUAGUCCAGAGGAGAUUGAAUUGAUAAAUGCCUCAAGGACUGGCCCAGGCACUUGACGUUAAAAAGAGCUUUGAAAUCUUGCUCAGAUAUAUGACACAGAUUUAAUCGCAUCCUAGAAAUGUCCAACUUUAGAAAGAACUCCACCAAAGAAACAGGAAGCAAGGAUAUGGCUGGUGAUGAAUUGCAAAUGAGUCAAAAUCCUAUGCAUAAUAUUAUCUGACCAUCAUAAACACCACAAAUUCUCAGUUCCACAAUGUAUAUGCAUUGAAAAAUAAAAUAAGAGGAAUUUCACA